This 497-nucleotide ribosomal RNA is filed under the name uncultured bacterium. Its description in RNAcentral is "partial 16S ribosomal RNA". It matches the Rfam family "Bacterial small subunit ribosomal RNA", at positions 28 to 507 of the family's 1533-position model. The record is from RNAcentral.
GAUGAACGCUGGCGGCGUGCUUAACACAUGCAAGUCGAGCGAACGGACGAGAAGCUUGCUUCUCGGAUGUUAGCGGCGGACGGGUGAGUAACACGUGCAUAACCUACCUAUAAGACUGGGAUAACUUCGGGAAACCGUAGCUAAUACCGGAUAAUAUUUUGAACCGCAUGGUUCAAAAGUGAAAGACGGUCUUGCUGUCACUUAUAGAUGGAUCCGCGCUGCAUUAGCUAGUUGGUAAGGUAACGGCUUACCAAGGCGACGAUGCAUAGCCGGCCUGAGAGGGUGAUCAGCCACACUGGGACUGAGACACGGUCCAGACUCCUACGGGAGGCAGCAGUAGGGAAUCUUGGGGAAUGGGCGAAAGCCUGACGGAGCAACGCCGCGUGAGUGAUGAAGGUCUUCGGAUGGUAAACCUCUGUUGUUAGGGAAGAACAUAUGUGUGAGUAACUAUGCGCGUCUUGACGGUACCUGAAGAAAAAGCCACGGCUAACUACGUG